GAGUUUGAUCGUGGCUCAGAUUGAACGCUGGCGGCAUGCCUUACACAUGCAAGUCGAACGGCAGCAUGAUCUAGCUUGCUAGAUUGAUGGCGAGUGGCGAACGGGUGAGUAAUACAUCGGAACGUGCCCUGUAGUGGGGGAUAACUAGUCGAAAGAUUAGCUAAUACCGCAUACGACCUGAGGGUGAAAGUGGGGGACCGCAAGGCCUCAUGCUAUAGGAGCGGCCGAUGUCUGAUUAGCUAGUUGGUGGGGUAAAGGCCCACCAAGGCGACGAUCAGUAGCUGGUCUGAGAGGACGAUCAGCCACACUGGGACUGAGACACGGCCCAGACUCCUACGGGAGGCAGCAGUGGGGAAUUUUGGACAAUGGGCGAAUGCCUGAUCCAGCAAUGCCGCGUGUGUGAAGAAGGCCUCGGUU
RNAcentral lists this ribosomal RNA (417 nucleotides) under uncultured microorganism. RNAcentral's name for it is "bacterial SSU rRNA". It matches the Rfam family "Bacterial small subunit ribosomal RNA", at positions 9 to 424 of the family's 1533-position model. The record is from RNAcentral.